RNAcentral lists this ribosomal RNA (539 nucleotides) under Bipolaris oryzae. Its description in RNAcentral is "eukaryotic LSU rRNA". The stretch from base 190 to 343 matches the Rfam family "5.8S ribosomal RNA". The record is from RNAcentral. Lineage: Eukaryota; Fungi; Ascomycota; Dothideomycetes; Pleosporales; Pleosporaceae.
GCGGAGGGAUCAUUACACAACAAAAUAUGAAGGCCUGGCUUUCGCGGCCGGCUGAAGUAUUUUUUUCACCCAUGUCUUUUGCGCACUUGUUGUUUCCUGGGCGGGUUCGCCCGCCACCAGGACCAAACCAUAAACCUUUUUUUCUUAUGCAGUUUCCAUCAGCGUCAGUAAAAACAAUGUAAUUAUUACAACUUUCAACAACGGAUCUCUUGGUUCUGGCAUCGAUGAAGAACGCAGCGAAAUGCGAUACGUAGUGUGAAUUGCAGAAUUCAGUGAAUCAUCGAAUCUUUGAACGCACAUUGCGCCCUUUGGUAUUCCAAAGGGCAUGCCUGUUCGAGCGUCAUUUGUACCUUCAAGCUUUGCUUGGUGUUGGGCGUUUUUUUGUCUCCCUCUUUCUGGGAGACUCGCCUUAAAACGAUUGGCAGCCGGCCUACUGGUUUCGGAGCGCAGCACAUUUUUUGCGCUUUGUAUCAGGAGAAAAGGACGGUACUCCAUCAAGACUCUACAUUUUUCACUUUUGACCUCGGAUCAGGUAGGGA